UACGUAGGGGGCAAGCGUUAUCCGGAUUUACUGGGUGUAAAGGGAGCGUAGGCGGGCUUUUAAGUCAGCGGUAAAAAUUCGGGGCUCAACCCCGUCCGGCCGUUGAAACUGGGGGUCUUGAGUGGGCGAGAAGAAGGCGGAAUGCGUGGUGUAGCGGUGAAAUGCAUAGAUAUCACGCAGAACCCCGAUUGCGAAGGCAGCCUUCCGGCGCCCUACUGACGCUGAGGCACGAAAGUGCGGGGAUCGAGCAGG
RNAcentral lists this ribosomal RNA (252 nucleotides) under uncultured bacterium. RNAcentral's name for it is "partial 16S ribosomal RNA". It matches the Rfam family "Bacterial small subunit ribosomal RNA", at positions 524 to 776 of the family's 1533-position model. The record is from RNAcentral.